Molecule: unclassified non-coding RNA, 463 nt
Filed under: Hevea brasiliensis (rubber tree)
Lineage: Eukaryota; Viridiplantae; Streptophyta; Magnoliopsida; Malpighiales; Euphorbiaceae
Source: RNAcentral
GCCUGGUACAAAAAACAUUGCAGAAAAAAAGAAACCAAAUUUAGCAAAACAUCCAUCCACCUGCAGAAGAUAACUCACACUAGGAACAGCAUAGACAACAUUUCAUACAAUGAUAAAAUUAUUCUGUAUCCAGAAGGAAUGGCUCAAGCAUCCCCAUGGCCAAUCAAGGCAAGUAGCAUUUUCUCAUAGUCUCCAGAAGUGUCUCCAGAAAUGGCACGAUCCAGAGGAACGCUGUUUCGGCGAUGGUAUUCCUCUUUAAUACGUUGCAUAUCCACCUCUGCCCUGGUGGUAACAACUCUAGUAAGAGCCCAUUCGUCCGUCCCCAGCUUGUUGAUGGCCAGACGCAGAACAUUCUCAAAGUAUUUCUCAGGACAGGUCAAACACUUGAUUGUUGCUCUCAGUAAUUUGAGGAACUCGUCUUUAGGGUCAACCUUCAAAUUCUUGUUGAUGGCAUUCCCAAAUG